GCCCGGAUGGUGGAAUCGGUAGACACAAGGGAUUUAAAAUCCCUCGGCGUUCGCGCUGUGCGGGUUCAAGUCCCGCUCUGGGUACCA
This 87-nucleotide transfer RNA is filed under the name Escherichia coli. RNAcentral's name for it is "tRNA-Leu". It matches the Rfam family "tRNA". From Rfam's summary of the family: Transfer RNA (tRNA) molecules are approximately 80 nucleotides in length. Their secondary structure includes four short double-helical elements and three loops (D, anti-codon, and T loops). Further hydrogen bonds mediate the characteristic L-shaped molecular structure. tRNAs have two regions of fundamental functional importance: the anti-codon, which is responsible for specific mRNA codon recognition, and the 3' end, to which the tRNAs corresponding amino acid is attached (by aminoacyl-tRNA synthetases). tRNAs cope with the degeneracy of the genetic code in two manners: having more than one tRNA (with a specific anti-codon) for a particular amino acid; and 'wobble' base-pairing, i.e. permitting non-standard base-pairing at the 3rd anti-codon position. The record is from RNAcentral. RNAcentral also lists the same sequence under 4 other names. Lineage: Bacteria; Pseudomonadati; Pseudomonadota; Gammaproteobacteria; Enterobacterales; Enterobacteriaceae.